CUCAAUUCACCACUCCUAAUAUCCCUGAGUCUUCUUCUUAAUACAUUUUGAGCACGGAAUAGUAUUCUCCGCUCACUGUUACACAAGUCUACUGCCAGCUGUUUCAGGAACAAGUUGCUUUGGAGAUGUUACAUCCAAAUCCAUUGUUCCACUUGCCUGCAAGAAUUUGGUGUACUUUGAUAUGCUCAACUCACAACUAUCCAAUAUGAACUGUAAUGUCGGUUCCUCAAUUUCAGGGUAUCUUAAAUCCUUCUUCAUGCCUGUCUUAUUUGAUGCUGCUGCAGCCAUCUCUUCGAACUGUCUGCUCAUACUUGGAGGGCUGACUGCUAAAAAGCUGUACGCCAUUAAUUCCACCGGCCAACCAGUGAUUCGCAAAGGAAAACACUGAGAUGCUGAUAAACCAUGCUUCCUUAGAGCUUCUAACUUCUCCUUGUAACAUUUGUCAGAUUUCUUCAAAGACAAUGACAGCUCUA
This 473-nucleotide unclassified non-coding RNA is filed under the name Hevea brasiliensis (rubber tree). Lineage: Eukaryota; Viridiplantae; Streptophyta; Magnoliopsida; Malpighiales; Euphorbiaceae. The record is from RNAcentral.